AAGGAUGUAGCUUAAUUGGUAAAGCCUUGGUCUUCAAAAUCAAAAAUUAAGGGUUCAAAUCCUUUCGUCCUUA
Candidatus Nasuia deltocephalinicola str. NAS-ALF is the source of this 73-nucleotide transfer RNA. It matches the Rfam family "tRNA". From Rfam's summary of the family: Transfer RNA (tRNA) molecules are approximately 80 nucleotides in length. Their secondary structure includes four short double-helical elements and three loops (D, anti-codon, and T loops). NCBI's taxonomy places the organism in Bacteria, Pseudomonadati, Pseudomonadota, Betaproteobacteria. The record is from Rfam.